This 736-nucleotide small RNA is filed under the name Drosophila pseudoobscura pseudoobscura. Its description in RNAcentral is "GA31932". Lineage: Eukaryota; Metazoa; Arthropoda; Insecta; Diptera; Drosophilidae. The record is from RNAcentral.
UUUGAAAAAUACCAAACCGUAAAAAAUAGAAAAUCAUUAAAAAAUUGUAGAGCCCCAAAUCUAUUCGAAAAAGUCGGUUUGGUUUACAAGCUACUCCCGCUUCAAGUAUAGUUUCUAACUGCUAAAAGUAACGGUAAAGCCUAAAAGCAGCAACAUUUUCCAUCGAUUUUGCUCGAAACACAGUUAAAGGCCAAAUGACAAAAAUACACCAGAAACAAUGCAAAAUGGAGAGAACAGAAACUGGUGGGGACGAUUUCAAUAUAUACAUAUGUUGUUUCUUUGUACUUUAUUAUUUUGGUGCCAUUGAAGAAACAAAUACACGCAGGUUGAAGUGGAGUACGGAGAUGAAAACUCACAUUUGGUAUGUUAACAUUGUGGAUUUUCGGAGAGCCUGCAAGAAUUCCGUUAAUGUCGACCAGGACAGAGCCAACCGAAGCUCUAGUAUUCUUUCUGCAACCAAGACGCUGCACCAAAACAGAUUAAACUGGAAAAUCUUCUGGAAAUUGUUCGGGCAAAGCUUGAAGUCAAAAAGAAGUAGCUGAAAUUACAGGAUGAGCACCAGGAAACAACUCGAGAGAUAUCCCAGAAAAUUGCAAGCAAUCAAGGCAAACCCAACUUCCACACGGAGUUGCUGCAAUGUUAAAGGGAUUCCAAAGAGUAACGUUUAUUAUUAUUAUUAUUAUCGAAAGAAAUCUACAUAAAUCCUUUUUAAAAAUAAAUUAAUAGUUUUCGAGUA